This is a long non-coding RNA of Mya arenaria, 1127 nucleotides long. RefSeq lists it as uncharacterized. NCBI's taxonomy places the organism in Eukaryota, Metazoa, Mollusca, Bivalvia, Myida, Myidae. The transcript has 4 exons. The record is from RefSeq and is a predicted model, not a curated record.
GAGUAAAUUAUUUGGAUUAUACCUAUCACAGUGUGUCAACGUUAUGCCUAUUGUUAUUUUGGACUAUAGGGUGUAGUUUUUAAAGUCAUACACAAUAUGGCGGCGAUUAUGCGGAAAUGAAAUUGAAUGUUACUUCGAACACGUUCUUCUACAAAAUAACCGACCUGUAUUUAGUGCUAUUGCUUUAACAUCAAUCGAAGCAAAAAUGGCAUCAAUGUAUGCGUCUAAAAAUGUUAAAUUUAGAUGGAGACAAUCCAGAAAUGAGCUGCCAGGAAGUGAUCGAUUUCGGACACGAAGAUUGAGAAGUGCCUGGAUACAAGGCUAGUAUUGUUAACAUCAUCUGAUACAAUCAACUGGAACAAAGCUGAAAUGGCUGCCUGACCUGACUUAAAAAUUGGAUGGCAGUACAUCAGACUAGAAGAUUACAAGUAUUGAGGUGGACAAAAUGAAACAUGAGCCUACCAAAGCUGACAGAUUGCACAAGAAACACAUAAAUGCAGAUUGGAAGAUUCAUUCUCUGGAAAGUAGAAAAGGGCAUGUUACAUACUGUUAUCACUGCCAUGACAGAAACCAUAUUGAGGAGCUGGUCCACCUGUAGGAAGAAUUGCCCUAUUGGUUGGAGCAGCACUAUUACCCAGCCAUACACCAGCACUUAGUUUGUCAUAGGGAGCAUUUCUGGGCAGUUAUGGAGACCACUAACUAUGCAGUUGUUGCAGUGAAACUUGCACCAGUGUGUUUUCUGUGGAAAUAAAGAGAUAGUGUCCAGCAAUGAAGACCCAACUCAAGAUCUGACCUUGUAAGGCCAAUAUGAAAUAACUGUGUGGAAAAAUGGGAAAAACCUGCAGUCAGGAAUGUACGGAAAUCAUCAAAAGAACAGUGUUAAAUUAAUCUUGAAUAACUUGACAUUUAUUUUGUUUGACAUAUUUAUUCAUGGUGCAGUGAAAACAUUCUUUUUUUCUCAUGGUUAUUUAAAUUUAGAAUUAAUAGGAGGGAACAUCACUAUGUAGUUUCAUGUUCAUAGUCAGAUUAAAACCCAUGUACAUGCCCAAAUGAGCAUUCGAAAAUAUCAAAAUGGUACUUGUUGUAUGUAGUGUAAGUUAAUUAACAUAAUAAACAAAAAUAUUUAA